Molecule: ribosomal RNA, 492 nt
Filed under: uncultured bacterium
Lineage: Bacteria
Description: partial 16S ribosomal RNA
Rfam family: Bacterial small subunit ribosomal RNA
Source: RNAcentral
AGUGAACGCUGGCGGUAGGCCUAACACAUGCAAGUCGAACGGCAGCACAGUAAGAGCUUGCUCUUACGGGUGGCGAGUGGCGGACGGGUGAGGAAUACAUCGGAAUCUACUUUUUCGUGGGGGAUAACGUAGGGAAACUUACGCUAAUACCGCAUACGACCUACGGGUGAAAGCAGGGGAUCUUCGGACCUUGCGCGAUUGAAUGAGCCGAUGUCGGAUUAGCUAGUUGGCGGGGUAAAGGCCCACCAAGGCGACGAUCCGUAGCUGGUCUGAGAGGAUGAUCGGCCACACGGGAACUGAGACACGGUCCAGACUCCUACGGGAGGCAGCAGUGGGGAAUAUUGGACAAUGGGCGCAAGCCUGACCCAGCAAUCCCGCGUGGGUGAAGAAGGCCUGCGGGUUGUAAAGCUCUUUUUUUGGGAAAGAAAAGCAGCGGGUUAAUCCCCCGCUGUCCUGACGGUACCCAAAAAAAAAGCCCCGGCUAACUUCGUG